This is a long non-coding RNA of Sapajus apella (tufted capuchin), 271 nucleotides long. RefSeq lists it as uncharacterized. The record is from RefSeq and is a predicted model, not a curated record. NCBI's taxonomy places the organism in Eukaryota, Metazoa, Chordata, Mammalia, Primates, Cebidae. The transcript is spliced from 3 exons.
UCCCUGCUGGUAGAUUCCCUAAAGAGAUUGCCAAAGAUACCUCUAUAAGUGCCAAAAUGAUUCACCUUGGCAAAAAAAAACACCAAAUAAAUGCAGGUAGAAUUUAAAGGGAUAAUUGUCCUAAUGUUUAAAAACUCAUAGUACAAAAAAGUAUCUGAUCUCAGCUUCAGGUGAAUGCUACAUUUUACUACAUGGCAGUAGUGGAGUGCUUCUCAACUCCAUAUGUGCUUCAGGUGAAUGGUUGGUUUUACUAUACUGGCAGCAGUCAAGU